This 249-nucleotide ribosomal RNA is filed under the name Triticum aestivum (bread wheat). RNAcentral describes it as "partial small subunit ribosomal RNA". Lineage: Eukaryota; Viridiplantae; Streptophyta; Magnoliopsida; Poales; Poaceae. The record is from RNAcentral.
AUGUUGCGUGAGAAGUGUGGUCUCAAAGAUAGCACGUUUGUGACAGUAGAAGAAAAUGUUGCUAUGUUCUUACAAUUUGUUGGACAUGGACUUAAAAUGAGGAUGUUGGGUGGCACGUACCAGCGUUCUUUAGAGACUAUCAGUUGGCAUUUCUCUACUGUGUUAUCAGCCAUCCUCUCUCUAACUGGGGAGUUUAUAAAGCUUCCUGAUCCUUCUAUCACCCCUCCCGAUGAUUACAAGUGGAAGUGA